Long non-coding RNA from Solanum lycopersicum (tomato), 3621 nucleotides. RefSeq lists it as uncharacterized. NCBI's taxonomy places the organism in Eukaryota, Viridiplantae, Streptophyta, Magnoliopsida, Solanales, Solanaceae. The record is from RefSeq and is a predicted model, not a curated record.
GAAGAACAUUCCCACUUUCUCUUCAACACCAUUGUCCUCCCCUCUCUUCUUCUUCGUCUCUUUUCUAUCAUCAUCAUGUCAGAUUCAAAAUAUUUCUUUCACCAUUUUUUUUGUUAUAUCCAACAUCAAGAGAGAUCAAGAACCAUGUACCCAUCGCUCUUGAGAUGGAGAACAUCUAAUAUUCCACAUGGAGGAACUAUUUAAGAUUCACGCGAUCCCAUUGAUUUCUUGACCAUAUUAUUCCUUUGGCAAAGUGCAAGAAGAAUCUGCCAAAAACAAAUGAGGAUAAAGAGCUUUGGUUUACUAUUGAUGCUACCAUUCUACAUUGUAUAUACGUCAUUAUAUCUCAUUAUAUUCUCCAUACGAUUCUUGAUCCAAGCACCAUGGUAAUGGAGAUUUCAAAUAGAUUGUGUGACAUAUUCAAAGAUAAUAAACACUCUCGUGCCGUCACCCUUGAGUACAAUUUCAUUCAUGUGAACAUGAAAUAUUUUCCAAGUGUCUCCGCAUAUUGUCAGCACCUCAAAUCUUUUACGGACAAACUCAAGAAUGUCAGCUUUCCCCUUGAUAACAAUAGACUAGUUCUUCAACUAGUUUCUUGCCUCAUCGAACCCUAUAAAGGUGUGGACACUCUCAUUUGCCAACGUGAUACUUUACCCCAAUUUUAUCAUAUGCCCGUUCGAUGCUCACUCAUGAAGAGGUCGUCCUUGCUAAGAAGGCGACACAUAGAUCAUCAUAGCCAUGGUGGCUUGUGAUUCGAAUGAUUUGCAUGAUAUUGUUGAUCAUUCCUCUUCACACCGCAAUACUAAUGGUGGGAAGAUAAAUAAUACCGCAACAAUAAUCGCAACAACAAUGGUGGUCGUGGAGGCAGAAAAGGUGGUAGUAGCGGUGGGGGUAAGGCUGGAGGUGGUGGUUAGAUGGGAGGCUGAAACAACCGCGGUGGAAGACAACAGCCAGAAGUUCAGCAGACGUCGACUGACUCUCUGUAUUCUGGAGGUCAAUUGUGUGCUUGGAUGGCACCUUGGUCUCCCUAGGCUACACCUCCUUUUCCAUAUCCAUCAAAUUCGGCCAGGCCCAAUUAUGGACAAUAAUCAAAAUAACAGUCUGUUAUACUAGGGCCCAGAGUGCAGCAAGCCUACACGAUAGCGCAAACUCAAACCGACAUUGAAGCCACAAUGCACACUCCCGCAUCACUCCUCCGAAUACAAAUUGGUACAUGGACACCGGUGCUAUUUCUCACAUGACAUCCGCACAAGAAUUUUCAGAAGGGGAGACCGGUAAUGAGGUGUGAAAGUCGGGGCGAGAUGUAUUCCAUCACUACUCCAGUCACUUCUCUAUCUACUUUUGCCGCUUUGGCACCACCCAUUUGGCAUGAUCAUUUGGGUCACUCGGGAGCACCUGUUUUAACUCUCUUAGGAAGAAUAAAUUGAUUGAAUGUAAUCAAAUUAAAGACUUUCGUAUUUGUCAUUCUUGUCCUUUGGGAAAACAUGUUAAUUUGCCAUUUUAUCCUUCAAAUUAUCGUGCUAUUAUGCCAUUUGAUAUUAUCCAUAGUGAUCUUUGGACAUCACUUGUUUUGAGUUCAUCGGGUUAUCAAUAUUAUGUCUAGUUUGUGGAUGAUUAUUCAAAACUUUUGUGGAAUUUUACACACAAAUCACAAACGUUUUCCACUUUUUUGAGUUUCAAUAUCUUUAUUUGAAGCCAAUUUGGGAGAGGCAUAAAAAAUAUACAAUGCGAUAAUGACUCGGAAAUUGAUAGUAUCCCCUUUUAGGAUUUUUGUAAAGCAAAUGGUCUUUUGUUUCGUCUUUCAUGUACUCAUACAUCCCCUCAAAAUGGGAAAGCUGAAACACAAAUCCAUACGAUCAAUAACAUUGUACGUACAUUAUUGGCCUAGACUUCCCUUGUUCUUUCAUUUUGGCAUCAUGCUUUUCAAAUGGCAACUUACCUUCUCAAUAUCCUUCCUCAUAAGCUUUUAAAUUAUCAAUCUGCUCUUCGCAUUCUUUAUCAAUGAAAUCCAUCUUAUUCUCAUUUUUGGGUGUUUGGGUGUUUAUGUUAUCCUCUUAUUCCCUCUACAAUAAUAACAGACUUUAUACCUGGUCGACUCCUUGUGUUUUUUUGGGUAUCCUUCAAAUCAUCGUGGGUAUAAAUUCUUUGAGUUAUGAUCUAGAAAAAUCAUCAUUAUCCGUCACAUAAUAUUUGAUGAGACACACUUUUCCUCUGCAAAGUCUAGUACUCCUCAAAGUCACACUUAUGGGUUUCUAGAGGAUGAGCCAUCUCCCUACGUGGUCCAUCAUUUCACUACCUCUCCUAACCUACAAGUUUCACCUAUUCCUUACACAACCACCUCACCAGCCUAGAAAGUGGUUCUAACGUGCCUAGCGGGCAGCACGACCUUCCCCAAUCGAAUGUACCAAGCCCAUCUACUCCUUUCACUCUCCUAUCCAACUCUUUCCUUGCCCUACUCCAAUAUCUCCCUCACGUCUACCAAUGAGUCCGGUUACUCAGAGUUAACAUGGUAUUUCGAAACCUAAUUAAGAAGUAUUUAAACCUUCUUACAUCAAUUUCUAAAUCUACCCUACCUCGUAACCCUGUGUUUGCUCUUCGUGACUUGAAUUAGAAAGUGGCUAUGGAUGAUGAAUAAUUCUCUAAUUGAAAAUAAGACUUGGGAGUUGGUGCCCCGUCCUCCAAAUGUUAAUGUAAUUCUGUCUAUGUGGAUUUUUGCUCAUAAAGAAAGUUUGAUGGUUCAUUUGAGAGGCAUAAAGCCCGUCUUGAAGGUUAUGGAAAAACUCAAUAGGUUGGCGUGGAUUGUGGUGAGACGUUUAGUCUAGUCCUCAUACCGGCGACUAUUCGAAAGGUCUCAGUUUGUCUUUCUCUAAGGCCUACCAGAUUCAUCAACUCGACGUCAAAAAUUUCUUCCAACAUGGGGAACUCAAGGAGACUGUUUACAAGUAUCAACCUUUGGGGGUACCGAGAUCUUGAUCGCCCUAAUCAUGUGUGUUUGCUGAAGAAAUCUCUCUAUGGGCUCAAACAUGCUCCAAGGGCUUGGUAUAAGAGAUAAGCUCCGUCAGUUUAUCAUCUCUCUUCUUAGCACGGAAUUUGCUAUGAAGGACAUUGGCCAUUCGAGUUAUUUUCUAGACGUUGCAGUCACUCUUCAUGUAGGUGGUCUAUUUUUAUCACAAAAUAAAUAUGCUACAAAGAUCAUUGAACAAGCAGGCAUGUCAUCGUAUAAGGCAUCUCCUACUCCGGUUGAUACAAAACCGAAGCUCGAUACUACUAUGAGAAAACCGUUUAAGGAUCCAUCUUUUCAUAGGAGUCUUCCCGGAGAAUUUCAGUACCUUACAUUCACAAGACCCGAUGUUACAUAUGUAGUACAAGUAUGUUUAUUCAUGCAUUACAUAAGGAGGAACACAUGCACACACUUAAGUACAUUUUGCGCUUCAUACACGGUACUAUGUAUUUCAAUCUUCACAUGUUUGCUUCAUCCACAUCCACUUUUUAUUUGUAUACUGAUGUAUAUUGGGGCGGAUGACCGGAUACACGAUGUUCAACGUCGGGUUAUGUUGUGUCCAAAAUUGCAUGCUAGUGCACGUGAACACUCAAGUAGUAAAUAGACUUUUUUGAAUCUAA